CGGACGGUACAUAUCGUUCCCCGAGAUGUGGGAUAUUUCAUUGUUAGAUGGGGGGUGGAGACAAUAGCCCCAAAGGAGUUCAAACAUGGUCGCCCUAAGAGGACGUUGUAAGAUGUAUUGGCAUCCACCAGCAAAUAUCGCACCUUCUUCUCUUCUCCCUCUCGUCUUGCCCCGAUGUGGGUCCACAAGUCCAGAUAUCCCCUGGUGUCGACCCUUUCUCCCG
Molecule: long non-coding RNA, 223 nt
Filed under: Vigna radiata
Lineage: Eukaryota; Viridiplantae; Streptophyta; Magnoliopsida; Fabales; Fabaceae
Description: long non-coding RNA (VRAD_LNC002780)
Source: RNAcentral